This 75-nucleotide transfer RNA is filed under the name Eubacterium sp. Its description in RNAcentral is "tRNA-Pro". It matches the Rfam family "tRNA". From Rfam's summary of the family: Transfer RNA (tRNA) molecules are approximately 80 nucleotides in length. Lineage: Bacteria; Bacillati; Bacillota; Clostridia; Eubacteriales; Eubacteriaceae. The record is from RNAcentral.
CGGGGUGUGGCUCAGCUUGGCUAGAGCGCCUGAUUUGGGUUCAGGAGGCCGCAGGUUCAAAUCCUGUCACCCCGA